UUAAGCGACUAAGCGUACACGGUGGAUGCCCUGGCAGUCAGAGGCGAUGAAGGACGUGCUAAUCUGCGAUAAGCGUCGGUAAGGUGAUAUGAACCGUUAUAACCGGCGAUUUCCGAAUGGGGAAACCCAGUGUGAUUCGUCACACUAUCAUUAACUGAAUCCAUAGGUUAAUGAGGCGAACCGGGGGAACUGAAACAUCUAAGUACCCCGAGGAAAAGAAAUCAACCGAGAUUCCCCCAGUAGCGGCGAGCGAACGGGGAGCAGCCCAGAGCCUGAAUCAGUGUGUGUGUUAGUGGAAGCGUCUGGAAAGGCGUGCGAUACAGGGUGACAGCCCCGUACACAAAAAUGCACAUACUGUGAGCUCGAUGAGUAGGGCGGGACACGUGGUAUCCUGUCUGAAUAUGGGGGGACCAUCCUCCAAGGCUAAAUACUCCUGACUGACCGAUAGUGAACCAGUACCGUGAGGGAAAGGCGAAAAGAACCCCGGCGAGGGGAGUGAAAAAGAACCUGAAACCGUGUACGUACAAGCAGUGGGAGCACGCUUAGGCGUGUGACUGCGUACCUUUUGUAUAAUGGGUCAGCGACUUAUAUUCUGUAGCAAGGUUAACCGAAUAGGGGAGCCGAAGGGAAACCGAGUCUUAACUGGGCGUUAAGUUGCAGGGUAUAGACCCGAAACCCGGUGAUCUAGCCAUGGGCAGGUUGAAGGUUGGGUAACACUAACUGGAGGACCGAACCGACUAAUGUUGAAAAAUUAGCGGAUGACUUGUGGCUGGGGGUGAAAGGCCAAUCAAACCGGGAGAUAGCUGGUUCUCCCCGAAAGCUAUUUAGGUAGCGCCUCGUGAAUUCAUCUCCGGGGGUAGAGCACUGUUUCGGCAAGGGGGUCAUCCCGACUUACCAACCCGAUGCAAACUGCGAAUACCGGAGAAUGUUAUCACGGGAGACACACGGCGGGUGCUAACGUCCGUCGUGAAGAGGGAAACAACCCAGACCGCCAGCUAAGGUCCCAAAGUCAUGGUUAAGUGGGAAACGAUGUGGGAAGGCCCAGACAGCCAGGAUGUUGGCUUAGAAGCAGCCAUCAUUUAAAGAAAGCGUAAUAGCUCACUGGUCGAGUCGGCCUGCGCGGAAGAUGUAACGGGGCUAAACCAUGCACCGAAGCUGCGGCAGCGACGCUUAUGCGUUGUUGGGUAGGGGAGCGUUCUGUAAGCCUGUGAAGGUGUGCUGUGAGGUAUGCUGGAGGUAUCAGAAGUGCGAAUGCUGACAUAAGUAACGAUAAAGCGGGUGAAAAGCCCGCUCGCCGGAAGACCAAGGGUUCCUGUCCAACGUUAAUCGGGGCAGGGUGAGUCGACCCCUAAGGCGAGGCCGAAAGGCGUAGUCGAUGGGAAACAGGUUAAUAUUCCUGUACUUGGUGUUACUGCGAAGGGGGGACGGAGAAGGCUAUGUUGGCCGGGCGACGGUUGUCCCGGUUUAAGCGUGUAGGCUGGUUUUCCAGGCAAAUCCGGAAAAUCAAGGCCGAGGCGUGAUGACGAGGCACUACGGUGCUGAAGCAACAAAUGCCCUGCUUCCAGGAAAAGCCUCUAAGCAUCAGGUAACAUCAAAUCGUACCCCAAACCGACACAGGUGGUCAGGUAGAGAAUACCAAGGCGCUUGAGAGAACUCGGGUGAAGGAACUAGGCAAAAUGGUGCCGUAACUUCGGGAGAAGGCACGCUGAUACGUAGGUGAAGCGACUUGCUCGUGGAGCUGAAAUCAGUCGAAGAUACCAGCUGGCUGCAACUGUUUAUUAAAAACACAGCACUGUGCAAACACGAAAGUGGACGUAUACGGUGUGACGCCUGCCCGGUGCCGGAAGGUUAAUUGAUGGGGUUAGCGCAAGCGAAGCUCUUGAUCGAAGCCCCGGUAAACGGCGGCCGUAACUAUAACGGUCCUAAGGUAGCGAAAUUCCUUGUCGGGUAAGUUCCGACCUGCACGAAUGGCGUAAUGAUGGCCAGGCUGUCUCCACCCGAGACUCAGUGAAAUUGAACUCGCUGUGAAGAUGCAGUGUACCCGCGGCAAGACGGAAAGACCCCGUGAACCUUUACUAUAGCUUGACACUGAACAUUGAGCCUUGAUGUGUAGGAUAGGUGGGAGGCUUUGAAGUGUGGACGCCAGUCUGCAUGGAGCCGACCUUGAAAUACCACCCUUUAAUGUUUGAUGUUCUAACGUGGACCCGUGAUCCGGGUUGCGGACAGUGUCUGGUGGGUAGUUUGACUGGGGCGGUCUCCUCCUAAAGAGUAACGGAGGAGCACGAAGGUUGGCUAAUCCUGGUCGGACAUCAGGAGGUUAGUGCAAUGGCAUAAGCCAGCUUGACUGCGAGCGUGACGGCGCGAGCAGGUGCGAAAGCAGGUCAUAGUGAUCCGGUGGUUCUGAAUGGAAGGGCCAUCGCUCAACGGAUAAAAGGUACUCCGGGGAUAACAGGCUGAUACCGCCCAAGAGUUCAUAUCGACGGCGGUGUUUGGCACCUCGAUGUCGGCUCAUCACAUCCUGGGGCUGAAGUAGGUCCCAAGGGUAUGGCUGUUCGCCAUUUAAAGUGGUACGCGAGCUGGGUUUAGAACGUCGUGAGACAGUUCGGUCCCUAUCUGCCGUGGGCGCUGGAGAACUGAGGGGGGCUGCUCCUAGUACGAGAGGACCGGAGUGGACGCAUYACUGGUGUUCGGGUUGUCAUGCCAAUGGCACUGCCCGGUAGCUAAAUGCGGAAGAGAUAAGUGCUGAAAGCAUCUAAGCACGAAACUUGCCCCGAGAUGAGUUCUCCCUGACCCUUUAAGGGUCCUGAAGGAACGUUGAAGACGACGACGUUGAUAGGCCGGGUGUGUAAGCGCAGCGAUGCGUUGAGCUAACCGGUACUAAUGAACCGUGAGGCUUAACCUU
RNAcentral lists this ribosomal RNA (2902 nucleotides) under Shigella flexneri. Its description in RNAcentral is "bacterial LSU rRNA". It matches the Rfam family "Bacterial large subunit ribosomal RNA". Lineage: Bacteria; Pseudomonadati; Pseudomonadota; Gammaproteobacteria; Enterobacterales; Enterobacteriaceae. The record is from RNAcentral.